CUGUUCAGUUCCAUUAAAAAAAUAUCUGGAGUCAAGUUCCAACAGUUGAGACAAAAAAGCCAAACAAGCACAGUGGAAUAUAUAGGUCUAUAUUAAAAGAAGGACACAGAGGCCGGACUGGAUAUCAGCAGAGGCCAAUUUCCAUGAAUUCACAACAGACCAUGUAUACUUGCAGCUGGCCACACAACACAGUGAACUGCUGGCUGGGUCACUGCACAGGACAAGAGGUGGGAAUAGCCUUGUGGAGCUAAACAGGCCCCUCAGUGAAUACAUUAAGCUCCACAAAUGUGUAAAAAUGUGCUGACAUGAAAUUAAUCAAUAAAAUAAUAAUACAGCAUAAGAAAGUUGACUUCAAUUUGUUUUACUUUGCGAAUGUUACCCUUUUAAGUAUUGGGAGAUAGGUGGGAGUUGGUUGGGAGUUGGAGUUGUGGGGAAAUGUGGAUUUUAAACAACUAAGUUCAAGACUAAUCUAGCAAACUGAGUCAUUCUUAGUCGACCAAAAAUCAGUAUUGUGUGACAUUUCUUCUUAAAAAAUUACUCAAAACGAUUAAUCGAUUCUCAA
Long non-coding RNA from Siniperca chuatsi (mandarin fish), 562 nucleotides. RefSeq lists it as uncharacterized. The transcript has 3 exons. The record is from RefSeq and is a predicted model, not a curated record. NCBI's taxonomy places the organism in Eukaryota, Metazoa, Chordata, Actinopteri, Centrarchiformes, Sinipercidae.